RNAcentral lists this ribosomal RNA (433 nucleotides) under uncultured bacterium. RNAcentral's name for it is "bacterial SSU rRNA". It matches the Rfam family "Bacterial small subunit ribosomal RNA", at positions 957 to 1391 of the family's 1533-position model. The record is from RNAcentral.
GAACGCGAAGAACCUUACCCGGGCUUGAAUUGCAGAGGAAGGAUUUAGAGAUAAUGACGCCUUCGGGGUCUCUGUGAAGGUGCUGCAUGGUUGUCGUCAGCUCGUGCCGUGAGGUGUCGGCUUAAGUGCCAUAACGAGCGCAACCCCUGUCUUUAGUUGCCAUCAGGUUAAGCUGGGCACUCUGGAGAUACUGCCACCGUAAGGUGUGAGGAAGGUGGGGAUGACGUCAAAUCAGCACGGCCCUUACGUCCGGGGCUACACACGUGUUACAAUGGCCGGUACAGAGGGACGGUGUAAUGUAAAUUGCAUCCAAUCUUGAAAGCCGGUCCCAGUUCGGACUGGGGUCUGCAACCCGACCCCACGAAGCUGGAUUCGCUAGUAAUCGCGCAUCAGCCAUGGCGCGGUGAAUACGUUCCCGGGUCUUGUACACACC